GACGAACGCUGGCGGCGUGCUUAACACAUGCAAGUCGAACGGAAAGGCCCUGCUUUUGUGGGGUGCUCGAGUGGCGAACGGGUGAGUAACACGUGAGUAACCUGCCCUUGACUUUGGGAUAACUUCAGGAAACUGGGGCUAAUACCGGAUAGGAGCUCCUGCUGCAUGGUGGGGGUUGGAAAGUUUCGGCGGUUGGGGAUGGACUCGCGGCUUAUCAGCUUGUUGGUGGGGUAGUGGCUUACCAAGGCUUUGACGGGUAGGCGGCCUGGGAGGGUGACCGGCCACAUUGGGACUGAGAUACGGCCCAGACUCCUAUGGGAGGCAGCAGGGGGGAAUAUUGCACAAUGGGCGGAAGCCGGAUGCAGCAACGCCGCGUGCGGGAUGACGGCCUUCGGGUUGUAAACCGCUUUCGCCUGUGACGAAGCGUGAGUGACGGUAAUGGGUAAAGAAGCACCGGCUAACUACGUG
This 468-nucleotide ribosomal RNA is filed under the name uncultured bacterium. Its description in RNAcentral is "partial 16S ribosomal RNA". It matches the Rfam family "Bacterial small subunit ribosomal RNA", at positions 28 to 507 of the family's 1533-position model. The record is from RNAcentral.